GCCGUGGUGGCAUAACAGUUAAGCACUUGGCUGCUAACCAAAAGGUUGGUGGUUUGAACCCACCCAGCCUCU
RNAcentral lists this transfer RNA (72 nucleotides) under Loxodonta africana (African savanna elephant). It matches the Rfam family "tRNA". Rfam says of the family: Transfer RNA (tRNA) molecules are approximately 80 nucleotides in length. Their secondary structure includes four short double-helical elements and three loops (D, anti-codon, and T loops). The record is from Rfam by way of RNAcentral. Lineage: Eukaryota; Metazoa; Chordata; Mammalia; Proboscidea; Elephantidae.